RNAcentral lists this ribosomal RNA (690 nucleotides) under Hoplobatrachus rugulosus (rugose frog). RNAcentral describes it as "partial 12S rRNA". It matches the Rfam family "Bacterial small subunit ribosomal RNA", at positions 381 to 1389 of the family's 1533-position model. Lineage: Eukaryota; Metazoa; Chordata; Amphibia; Anura; Dicroglossidae. The record is from RNAcentral.
ACCUAGUCCCACCACACCCCCAAGGGUACUCAGCAGUGAUAAACAUUGUCUAUAAGCGCCAGCUUGACCCAGUUAUAAAGAAGAGGGCCGGCCAACUUGGUGCCAGGCGCCGCGGCUAGACCAACUGGACUCAAAUUGAUAAUUCCCGGCGUUAAGCGUGAUUAAAGCCAUACACCAAUUAGAGUUAAACCUAUGUUGAGCAGUGAAAAGCACACGAUAGGGAAACCCAGAAACGAAAGUUACUCUAAUCUCUGCUUGAAUACACGACAGCUAGAAUACAAACUGGGAUUAGAUACCCCACUAUGUCUAGCCGUAAACUAUUAACCCACACCAACCCCGCGCCAGGGAACUACGAGCCUUAGCUUAAAACCCAAAGGACUUGACGGUGUCCCACCCAACUAGAGGAGCCUGUUCUAUAAUCGAUAACCCCCGCUUCACCCAACCCCCCCUUGCUUUAUCAGCCUGUAUACCUCCGUCGUAAACCCGCCGUAUGAAUGUACUUAAGCGGAUUCAAUGGUCUCCCACCAACACGCCAGGUCAAGGUGCAGCCAAUGGAGGUGGUAAGUAAUGGGCUACAAUUUCUAAUCUAGAACAAACGAAGUACUGCAUGAAACACAGUCAUGAAGGAGGAUUUAGUAGUAAAAAGAAAGUAGCGUGUUCUUUUUAACACGGCCCUGGGACGUGUACACA